RNAcentral lists this ribosomal RNA (497 nucleotides) under uncultured bacterium. RNAcentral's name for it is "partial 16S ribosomal RNA". It matches the Rfam family "Bacterial small subunit ribosomal RNA", at positions 28 to 507 of the family's 1533-position model. The record is from RNAcentral.
GAUGAACGCUGGCGGCGUGCCUAAUACAUGCAAGUCGAGCGAACGGACGAGAAGCUUGCUUCUCUGAUGUUAGCGGCGGACGGGUGAGUAACACGUGGAUAACCUACCUAUAAGACUGGGAUAACUUCGGGAAACCGUAGCUAAUACCGGAUAAUAUUUUGAACCGCAUGGUUCAAAAGUGAAAGACGGUCUUGCUGUCACUUAUAGAUGGAUCCGCGCUGCAUUAGCUAGUUGGUAAGGUAACGGCUUACCAAGGCAACGAUGCAUAGCCGACCUGAGAGGGUGAUCAGCCACACUGGAACUGAGACACGGUCCAGACUCCUACGGGAGGCAGCAGUAGGGAAUCUUCCGCAAUGGGCGAAAGCCUGACGGAGCAACGCCGCGUGAGUGAUGAAGGUCUUCGGAUCGUAAAACUCUGUUAUUAGGGAAGAACAUAUGUGUAAGUAACUGUGCACAUCUUGACGGUACCUAAUCAGAAAGCCACGGCUAACUACGUG